Molecule: ribosomal RNA, 910 nt
Filed under: uncultured bacterium
Lineage: Bacteria
Description: bacterial SSU rRNA
Rfam family: Bacterial small subunit ribosomal RNA
Source: RNAcentral
AGAGUUUGAUCAUGGCUCAGGAUGAACGCUAGCGACAGGCCUAACACAUGCAAGUCGAGGGGCAUCGGGACGUAGCAAUACGUUGCCGGCGACCGGCGGAUGGGUGAGUAACGCGUAUGCAACCUACCCGUAGCAGGGGGAUAGCCCGUUGAAAGACGGAUUAAUACCCCGUAACACAGGGGCUCCGCAUGGAGAUUAUUGUUAAAGGGUCAUUUCUUUUUCAGGGAUGGUCCGGCUGCGGAUGGGCAUGCGUUCCAUUAGGUAGUUGGUGUAGGUAACGGCUCACCAAGCCGACGAUGGAUAGGGGAACUGAGAGGUUGGUCCCCCACACUGGUACUGAGACACGGACCAGACUCCUACGGGAGGCAGCAGUGAGGAAUCUUGGUCAAUGGACGCAAGUCUGAACCAGCCAUGUCGCGUGAAGGAGGACGGCCCUAAGGGUUGUAAACUUCUUUUGCAGUGGAAUAAAGUUUGCCACGUGUUGGCGAUUUGCAAGUACGCUGCGAAUAAGGAUCGGCUAACUCCGUGCCAGCAGCCGCGGUAAUACGGAGGAUCCAGGCGUCAUCCGGAUUUAUUGGGUUUAAAGGGUGCGCAGGCGGGGAAUUAGGUCGGCGGUGAAAUUUCGGGGCUCAACCUCGACAGUGCCGUUGAAACCGUUUCUCUUGAGUGCGGAUGAGGUAGGCGGAAUUUGUGGUGUAGCGGUGAAAUGCGUAGAUAUCACAAGGAACACCGAUUGCGGAGGCAGCUUACUAAACCGUUACUGACGCUCAUGCACGAAGGCGUGGGGAUCAAACAGGAUUAGAUACCCUGUAGUCCACGCAGUAAACGAUGAUUACUUGCUGUUUGCGAUACACUGUAAGCGGCGUAGCGAAAGCGUUAAGUAAUCCACCUGGGGAGUACGUUCGCAAGA